Molecule: long non-coding RNA, 521 nt
Filed under: Rattus norvegicus (Norway rat)
Lineage: Eukaryota; Metazoa; Chordata; Mammalia; Rodentia; Muridae
Description: long non-coding RNA NONRATT009828
Source: RNAcentral
UCCAUGGAUUCUCAAAGUUUUUUAUUUAGAAUAUAAUUUUUGAGACAAAAAAAAGCGGUUCAUGUUAUUCAGCAAAAUAAAUGUAACAAGUUCAUUUAAAUAAGGUAGAUUCUAGACUCUGUAACUUUUUUUCCCUAGCUACCUGCUUUUCUGCCCCUUGGAAUCUGUCGCUGCUAAACGAGGGUGUUUUCCAAGGUAACGCAGCUGUAAGAGAAGGAACUGUUUUAUAUAUCUAUAUUUCAAAUAUAUAAAAAUUGAAUGACUCAAAUACACCCGUGUUCUCAUCCAACCACCAGAGUGUUAAGUGAAGCGGAGGAAAGAGGCACAGGAAGGUGGACUGAGGUGUCUCCCCUGCCUGCCCGUUCCUUUAACUUCUCAACAGAAGCCAGGCAGCUCUGGAAUGCUCUGAAACGGAUGGUGGUACAUACGGAUUGGAAAGUGGCGGUCAAGGGCAAACAAAAACUGCUCCCACAUCAUCUUUCAUUAAAAUCCAAAGAGAAACGUAAGCCACACCCCUCUCC